GACGAACGCUGGCGGCGUGCUUAACACAUGCAAGUCGAACGGAAAGGCCCUGCUUUUGUGGGGUGCCCGAGUGGCGAACGGGUGAGUAACACGUGAGUAACCUGCCCUUGACUUUGGGAUAACUUCAGGAAACUGGGGCUAAUACCGGAUAGGAGCUCCUGCUGCAUGGUGGGGGUUGGAAAGUUUCGGCGGUUGGGGAUGGACUCGCGGCUUAUCAGCUUGUUGGUGGGGUAGUGGCUUACCAAGGCUUUGACGGGUAGCCGGCCUGAGAGGGUGACCGGCCACAUUGGGACUGAGAUACGGCCCAGACUCCUACGGGAGGCAGAAGUGGGGAAUAUUGCACAAUGGGCGGAAGCCUGAUGCAGCAACGCCGCGUGCGGGAUGACGGCCUUCGGGUUGUAAACCGCUUUCGCCUGUGACGAAGCGUGAGUGACGGUAAUGGGUAAAGAAGCACCGGCUAACUACGUG
RNAcentral lists this ribosomal RNA (468 nucleotides) under uncultured bacterium. RNAcentral's name for it is "partial 16S ribosomal RNA". It matches the Rfam family "Bacterial small subunit ribosomal RNA", at positions 28 to 507 of the family's 1533-position model. The record is from RNAcentral.